AGUCAAGGAAGUAAGGGCAUACGGUGGAUGCCUUGGCACAGGAGGCCGAUGAAGGGCGCAGCAAGCCUGCGAUAGGCUCCGGGGAGCUGCAAGCAAGCGUUGAUCCGGAGAUUCCCGAAUGGGGCAACCCGAUAUUCCUGAUAAGGGAAUAUCAUCUCUACCUGAAUUAAUAGGGUAGAGAGGGCAAGCAGGGGAAGUGAAACAUCUCAGUACCCUGAGGAAAAGAAAGAAAACUCGAUUCCCUGAGUAGCGGCGAGCGAAAGGGGAAGAGCCCAAACCAACUAGGUGUUAAAGCCUUGGGGCGUUGCCUAGUUGGGGUUGUAGGAAUGGCUCAUUAGAGAGCCCAAGCUCUCUAGGGAAGUUACAAAAGAAUUGCUUAGCCGAAUAACCUGGGAAGGUUAGCCAAAGUGGGUGAAAGCCCCGUAGGCAAAAAGCAAUUCUCUUCCCGAGCCAUAUCCUGAGUACCACGGGACUCGUGAAAUCCUGUGGGAAGCAGGGAGGACCACCUCCCAAGGCUAAAUACCUCCGUGACCGAUAGUGAACAUAGUACCGUGAGGGAAAGGUGAAAAGAACCCCGGAAGGGGAGUGAAAUAGAACCUGAAACCGUAUGCCUACAAACCGUGGGAGGACUAUGUCAAGAUUUUCUUGACAGUCUGACCACGUGCCUAUUGAAGAAUGAGCCAGCGAGUUACUGACUACGGCGAGGUUAAGGACUAGAGUCCGUAGCCGUAGCGAAAGCGAGUCUGAAAAGGGCGCUUAGUCGUAGUCAGUAGACCCGAAGCCGGGUGACCUACCCAUGGCCAGGUUGAAGUGGGAUUAAACUCCCAUGGAGGACCGAACCAGUCAGGGGUGAAAUCCUGUUGGAUGAGCUGUGGGUAGAGGAGAAAUUCCAACCGAACCCGGGGAUAGCUGGUUCUCCCCGAAAUGCAUUUAGGUGCAGCCCCAGGUUAAAUGAAGAGUGGGGGUAGAGCACUGGAUGGGCUAGGGGCCCUUUGGGCUACCGAACCCAACCAAACUCCGAAUACCACUCUUUCUUAUCCUGGGAGUGAGAAAGCGGGGGAAAAGCUCCGUUUUCGAGAGGGCAACAGCCCAGAUCACCCGCUAAGGUCCCUAAUGGAAGCUAAGUGUUUUUGAUAAGGAAGUGGGGCUACUUAGACAGCUAGGAGGUUGGCUUAGAAGCAGCCAUCCUUUAAAGAGUGCGUAACAGCUCACUAGUCGAGUGGCCCUGCGCCGAAAAUGUACGGGACUAAGCUUCCAACCGAAGCGGUGGAUCAGGAUAAAAAUCUUUUGAUUUUUAUCCUGGUGGUAGGGGAGCGUUCCUACUGCGGUGAAGGUACACCGUAAGGAGUACUGGAGCGGUAGGAAGUGAGAAUGCUGGCUUGAGUAACGAAAAGAAGGAUGAGAAUUCCUUCCGCCGUAAGUCUAAGGUUUCCUGGGGAAGGUUCGUCCGCCCAGGGUUAGUCGGUCCUAAGUCGAGGCCGAAAGGCGUAGACGAUGGGCAGCCGGUUAAUAUUCCGGCACCACCUAACCUUCGUAAAAAGCGAAGGGGUGGUCGAGAAGGAUAGGUCUGCAGGGUGAUGGAAUACCCUGUCCAAGCCUGUAGGUGGCGUCUCUAGGCAAAUCCGGAGACGCAUUAACACCGAGAGGUGAUGGGGAGCCACUGGGUAACCAGCGGCGAAGUGACUGAUUCCAUGCUCGCGAGAAAAACCUCGUAGCAUUGAAGGUUAGGUGACCGUACCGCAAACCAACACAGGUAGACUGGGAUAAAUGUCCCAAGGCGCGCGGAAGAACUCUCGUCAAGGAACUCGGCAAUCUAACCCCGUACCUACGGAAGAAGGGGUGCUCUCCUCGGUGUAAGUAAUUUCUACUGAAGCUGAGGAGAGUCGCAGGUAAUCGGCUCGGGCGACUGUUUAACAAAAACACAGGUCUCUGCCAAGCCGUAAGGCUAGGUAUAGGGGCUGUGGCCUGCCCAGUGCCGGAAGGUUAUGGGGAGGGGUUAGCCUUCUUCGUGAAGGCGAAGCUCCGAACUUAAGCCCCGGUGAACGGCGGCCGUAACUAUAACGGUCCUAUGGUAGCGAAAUACCUUGUCGGGUAAGUUCCGACGCGCAUGAAAGGUGUAACGACCUGAGCGCUGUCUCGACGAGAGAUCCGGUGAAAUAGCAAUGCCCGUGCAGAUGCGGGCUACCUGCAGCAGGACGGAAAGACCCCGUGGAGCUUUACUACAACUUGGCAUUGGAUUCUGGCACAUUAUGUAUAGGAUAGGUGGGAGGCUGUGAAGCAGGGGCGCCAGCUCUUGUGGAGCCAACCUUGGAAUACCACCCUUAAUGUGUUAGAAUUCUAACUCUCAACCCUUACCGGGUGAGAGGACAGUGUCAGGCGGGUAGUUUGACUGGGGCGGUCGCCUCCUAAAAAGUAACGGAGGCGCCCAAAGGUACCCUCAACGCGGUUGGAAAUCGCGUGUAGAGUGCAAAGGCAUAAGGGUGCCUUACUGCAUAGACCGACAGGUCGAACAGUCACGAAAGUGGGGCUUAGUGAUCCGGUGGUUGCGCGUGGAAGCGCCAUCGCUCAACGGAUAAAAGUUACCCCGGGGAUAACAGGCUGAUCUCUCCCGAGAGUCCACAUCGACGGGGAGGUUUGGCACCUCGAUGUCGGCUCAUCGCAUCCUGGGGCUGGAGAAGGUCCCAAGGGUUGGGCUGUUCGCCCAUUAAAGCGGUACGCGAGCUGGGUUCAGAACGUCGUGAGACAGUUCGGACCUAAUCCGCUGCAGGCGUUGGAGAUUUGAGGAGGUACACCCUUAGUACGCGAGGACCAGGGUGUGGGAACCUCUGGUUUACCGGCUGUCCCGCCAGGGGCAGGCGCCGGGUAGCUAUGUUCCUACGGGAUAAGCGCUGAAAGCAUCUAAGCGCGAAGCCCACUCCAAGAUAAGAUCUCCCAUCCUCCGCAAGGAGGAGUAAGGUCCCUGGAAGACUACCAGGUUGAUAGGCCCGAGGUGUAAGUGUGGUGACACACUUAGCUGACGGGUACUAAUAGACCGAGGACUUGACUUA
This 3047-nucleotide ribosomal RNA is filed under the name Deltaproteobacteria bacterium. RNAcentral's name for it is "23S ribosomal RNA". It matches the Rfam family "Bacterial large subunit ribosomal RNA". Lineage: Bacteria; Pseudomonadati; Myxococcota; Myxococcia. The record is from RNAcentral.